CCUACGGGUGGCAGCAGUGAGGAAUAUUGGUCAAUGGACGAGAGUCUGAACCAGCCAAGUAGCGUGAAGGAUGACUGCCCUAUGGGUUGUAAACUUCUUUUGUAUGGGAAUAAAAUGUUCCACGUGUGGGAUUUUGUAUGUACCAUAAGAAUAAGGAUCGACUAACUCCGUGCCAGCAGCCGCGGUAAUACGGAGGAUUCGAGAGUUAUCCGGAUUGAUUGGGUUUAAAGGGAGCGUAGGUGGUUUGUUAAGUUAGUGGUGAAAGUUUGAGUCUCAACUUUAAAAUUGCAGUUGAAACUGGCAGGCUUGAGAACAGUAGAGGUAGGCGGAAUGAGUGGUGUAGCGGUGAAAUGCUUAGAUAUCACGAAUAACUCCGAUUGCGAAGGCAGAUCACUAGACUACAACUGACACUGAGGCUCGAAAGUGUGGGUAUCAAACAGGAUUAGAUACCCCUGUAGUC
Molecule: ribosomal RNA, 460 nt
Filed under: uncultured bacterium
Lineage: Bacteria
Description: partial 16S ribosomal RNA
Rfam family: Bacterial small subunit ribosomal RNA
Source: RNAcentral